UUUAUCGGAGAGUUUGAUCCUGGCUCAGGACGAACGCUGGCGGCGUGCCUAAUACAUGCAAGUCGAGCGGACAGAUGGGAGCUUGCUCCCUGAUGUUAGCGGCGGACGGGUGAGUAACACGUGGGUAACCUGCCUGUAAGACUGGGAUAACUCCGGGAAACCGGGGCUAAUACCGGAUGGUUGUUUGAACCGCAUGGUUCAGACAUAAAAGGUGGCUUCGGCUACCACUUACAGAUGGACCCGCGGCGCAUUAGCUAGUUGGUGAGGUAACGGCUCACCAAGGCGAC
RNAcentral lists this ribosomal RNA (287 nucleotides) under Bacillus velezensis. RNAcentral's name for it is "partial 16S ribosomal RNA". It matches the Rfam family "Bacterial small subunit ribosomal RNA", at positions 1 to 277 of the family's 1533-position model. Lineage: Bacteria; Bacillati; Bacillota; Bacilli; Caryophanales; Bacillaceae. The record is from RNAcentral.